Drosophila melanogaster (fruit fly) is the source of this 715-nucleotide non-coding RNA. The record is from Ensembl. NCBI's taxonomy places the organism in Eukaryota, Metazoa, Arthropoda, Insecta, Diptera, Drosophilidae.
AUUCCGUGUGGCUGCUGCCAAGCGAUUUUUAUGUUUUAUGAGCCAAUUCGGGCCGCUUCUGUUGAUGACGACGAAUAAUUCUCGGCGAACACGCAGUCACAGCGAUCAAUAAAGAAUAAUUCUGGAUUUCUGGACCGAUCGAACGCUUCCAAUUGGAAUCGAGCAGGAGAAAAAAAAAACAAGAACAAGAUCGAAAGCAGAAAUAUAAAUAUAACGAGAACUCGAUCGCAACCACUAUCUACCUCACUGUUUAAUGAAAACCGCAAAUUUCGCGUUUGCCGCACGUUGUAAACAUUUAGUUUUUGGGUUCUCCAGUCUUUGAUAUACGUGUAUAUAUUUAAGGUCGGUGCAAUAUAGUCCGGAAGAUCGGUGUGAGUGCCCACCUGGAUUCAGUUUCGUUUGCGGCGGAUUAAUAACAACAAUCGGCCGUCGCACAACCGCACUCGACCGCAUUCAAUGAAAGUUGCAGAGGGACUGUGGUCAGACAUUUCGAAUACGAAAAUGUUCGCCAUACGAAGCUGAAAAUUGCCUAAAUUGGCACUCCACUAAUGGCUUGGAACUUGGCUAGUGCGCACUUCAACCAGAGGACUUACCUAAUGCACUUUCCACACUGCCUUAUGCUUGUGACAGUGGAAAAGUUACAGAGUAUGGCGUACAAAGUAUCGUUUUCCCUUGUUUUAAGAUUAAAGAUUGUUUUUUAGGAUUAACAAUAAAG